RNAcentral lists this ribosomal RNA (461 nucleotides) under uncultured Sphingobacteriales bacterium. Its description in RNAcentral is "bacterial SSU rRNA". It matches the Rfam family "Bacterial small subunit ribosomal RNA", at positions 920 to 1382 of the family's 1533-position model. The record is from RNAcentral. Lineage: Bacteria; Pseudomonadati; Bacteroidota; Sphingobacteriia; Sphingobacteriales.
CCCGCACAAGCGGUGGAGCAUGUGGUUUAAUUCGAUGAUACGCGAGGAACCUUACCUGGGCUCAAAUGUAUGUUGACGUAUUCUGAAAGGGAUACUUCUUCGGACAAUAUACAAGGUGCUGCAUGGUUGUCGUCAGCUCGUGCCGUGAGGUGUCGGGUUAAGUCCCAUAACGAGCGCAACCCCUAUCAUUAGUUGCCAUCAGGUCAAGCUGGGGACUCUAAUGAAACUGCCUACGCAAGUAGUGAGGAAGGUGGGGAUGACGUCAAAUCAGCACGGCCCUUACGUCCAGGGCUACACACGUGCUACAAUGGCCGGUACAACGGGAAGCGAGUUCGCGAGGACAAGCGGAUCCCUUAAAGCCGGUCGCAGUUCGGAUUGAAGUCUGCAACUCGACUUCAUGAAGCUGGAAUCGCUAGUAAUCGUGGAUCAGCCAAGCCGCGGUGAAUACGUUCCCGGGCCUU